This 797-nucleotide ribosomal RNA is filed under the name uncultured bacterium. RNAcentral describes it as "bacterial SSU rRNA". It matches the Rfam family "Bacterial small subunit ribosomal RNA", at positions 8 to 796 of the family's 1533-position model. The record is from RNAcentral.
AGAGUUUGAUCAUGGCUCAGGAUGAACGCUAGCGGCAGGCUUAAUACAUGCAAGUCGUGGGGCAGCAUGGGUGUAGCAAUACAUCUGAUGGCGACCGGCAAACGGGUGCGGAACACGUACACAACCUUCCUUUAAGUGGGGAAUAGCCCAGGGAAACUUGGAUUAAUACCCCGUAACAUUAUGAAAUGGCAUCAUUUUAUAAUUAUAGCUCCGGCGCUUAAUGAUGGGUGUGCGGCUGAUUAGGUAGUUGGCGGGGUAACGGCCCACCAAGCCUUCGAUCAGUAACUGGUGUGAGAGCACGACCAGUCACACGGGCACUGAGACACGGGCCCGACUCCUACGGGAGGCAGCAGUAAGGAAUAUUGGUCAAUGGACGCAAGUCUGAACCAGCCAUGCCGCGUGGAGGAUGAAGGUCCUCUGGAUUGUAAACUUCUUUUAUCUGGGAAGAAACCCACGGUUUCUACUGUGGUUGACGGUACCAGAUGAAUAAGCACCGGCUAACUCCGUGCCAGCAGCCGCGGUAAUACGGAGGGUGCAAGCAUUAUCCGGAUUCACUGGGUUUAAAGGGUGCGUAGGUGGGUCUGUAAGUCCGUGGUGAAAUCUCCGAGCUUAACUUGGAAACUGCCAUGGAUACUAUAGGUCUUGAAUACUGUGGAGGUCAGCGGAAUAUGUCAUGUAGCGGUGAAAUGCUUAGAUAUGACAUAGAACACCAAUUGCGAAGGCAGCUGGCUACACAAAUAUUGACACUGAGGCACGAAAGCGUGGGGAUCAAACAGGAUUAGAUACCCUAGUAGUCC